This is a non-coding RNA of Acanthosepion pharaonis, 100 nucleotides long. NCBI's taxonomy places the organism in Eukaryota, Metazoa, Mollusca, Cephalopoda, Sepiida, Sepiidae. The record is from the annotation of a GenBank genome assembly.
CGUUUAAACACAGAUUCCCGUACCAUCACCGAAGUUAAGCAACGUCGAGCCUGGUUAGUACCUAGAUGGGUGACUGCUUGUGUAUACCAGGUGUUGGAAG